Molecule: ribosomal RNA, 434 nt
Filed under: uncultured bacterium
Lineage: Bacteria
Description: partial 16S ribosomal RNA
Rfam family: Bacterial small subunit ribosomal RNA
Source: RNAcentral
ACGGGAGGCAGCAGUAGGGAAUAUUGCACAAUGGGGGAAACCCUGAUGCAGCGACGCCGCGUGAGUGAUGAAGUAUUUCGGUACGUAAAACUCUAUCAGCAGGGAAGAUAAUGACGGUACCUGCAUAAGAAGCCCCGGCUAACUACGUGCCAGCAGCCGCGGUAAUACGUAGGGGGCAAGCGUUAUCCGGAUUUACUGGGUGUAAAGGGAGUGUAGGUGGUCGGGCAAGUCCGAUGUGAAAGCCCGCGGCUCAACCGCGGGACUGCAUUGGAAACUGUCCGACUGGAGUGCAGAAGAGGAAAGUGGAAUUCCUAGUGUAGCGGUGAAAUGCGUAGAUAUUAGGAAGAACACCAGUGGCGAAGGCGGCUUUCUGGACUGUAACUGACACUGAGGCUCGAAAGCGUGGGGAGCAAACAGGAUUAGAUACCCUGGUA